GAGAUUAUUGGGCCUAAGCAUCCGUAGCUCGUUCUGUAAGUUUUCGGUUAAAUCCAUGCGCUUAACKUAUGGGCUGCCGGGAAUACUGCAUAACUAGGAAGUGGGAGAGGUAGACGGUACUCGGUAGGAAGGGGUAAAAUCCUUUGAUCUAUUGAUGACCACCUGUGGCGAAGGCGGUCUACCAGAACACGUUCGACGGUGAGGGAUGAAAGCUGGGGGAGCAAACCGGAUUAGAUACCCGGGUAGUCCCAGCUGUAAACUAUGCAAACUCAGUGAUGCAUUGGCUUGUGGCCAAUGCAGUGCUGCAGGGAAGCCGUUAAGUUUGCCGCCUGGGAAGUACGUACGCAAGUAUGAAACUUAAAGGAAUUGGCGGGGGAGCACAA
This 383-nucleotide ribosomal RNA is filed under the name uncultured archaeon. Its description in RNAcentral is "bacterial SSU rRNA". It matches the Rfam family "Archaeal small subunit ribosomal RNA", at positions 497 to 881 of the family's 1478-position model. The record is from RNAcentral.